RNAcentral lists this ribosomal RNA (468 nucleotides) under uncultured bacterium. RNAcentral describes it as "partial 16S ribosomal RNA". It matches the Rfam family "Bacterial small subunit ribosomal RNA", at positions 28 to 507 of the family's 1533-position model. The record is from RNAcentral.
GACGAACGCUGGCGGCGUGCUUAACACAUGCAAGUCGAACGGAAAGGCCCUGCUUUUGUGGGGUGCUCGAGUGGCGAACGGGUGAGUAACACGUGAGUAACCUGCCCUUGACUUUGGGAUAACUUCAGGAAACUGGGGCUAAUACCGGAUAGGAGCUCCUGCUGCAUGGUGGGGGUUGGAAAGUUUCGGCGGUUGGGGAUGGACUCGCGGCUUAUCAGCUUGUUGGUGGGGUAGUGGCUUACCAAGGCUUUGACGGGUAGCCGGCCUGAGAGGGUGACCGGCCACAUGGGGACUGAGAUACGGCCCAGACUCCUACGAGAGGCAGCAGUGGGGAAUCUUGCACAAUGGGCGGAAGCCUGAUGGAGCAACGCCGCGUGCGGGAUGACGGCCUUCGGGUUGUAAACCGCUUUCGCCUGUGACGAAGCGUGAGUGACGGUAAUGGGUAAAGAAGCACCGGCUAACUACGUG